Non-coding RNA from Vombatus ursinus (common wombat), 701 nucleotides. NCBI's taxonomy places the organism in Eukaryota, Metazoa, Chordata, Mammalia, Diprotodontia, Vombatidae. The record is from the annotation of a RefSeq genome assembly.
ACAACACUUGUGAAAGGAAAGGCUUGAGAAGGUAAGGAGUGCUGGGUUGCAAACAUGAUUCUGAUUGGCUGGACAGAAUCAUGAAGGAGGCUCUUUGUUUCCUGGAACAGAAGAAAGAGACAGGAGAUAGUUGCUCUGGGUGAAGAAUCCAGUUGUCAUCCCAAGUCCCAAAGCAAAGUUCUCAUUGAACCUUGGUGGAAAAAAAAUGGUGAAGUCCCUGGGAGUCUCAUUAGUGGUGCUGUACUUCCAACUAGGCUGGGUUACCAGCCAAACUAAAGUAAAGCAGAGUCCACAAUUCUUGCGAGUCCAGGAGGGAGACACAGCCAUCAUCAACUGCAGUUACACGGACAGUAAUUUUGACUACUUCCCCUGGUACUGGCAAGCUCCUGGAAAAGGCCCCACGUUCUUGGUAGCAAUUCGUGUGAGCAAGAAUAUACAGGAGGAGGGAAGACUCACAGUCCAACUGAAUAAAGAUGCCAAAUACUUCUUUCUGCACAUCAAAGAGUCUCAGCCCGAAGACUCAGGCACCUACUUCUGUGCAGCAAGUACACAGUGGUCCCCAGGCACCUGCAGCCUGUGCACAAACCCUACAGCUGGGCUCCAGAUCUGGGGUUUUUUAGUAUAUUCUCUUAUUUGCCAAUGGAAACAUACUUCUAAUGUAACAUAAACUGGGCUUUAUGGUUGUUCCUGAAGUAGAUACA